GCCAGCAUGGUGUAAUGGCUUGAAUGUUGGAUUAGGACUCUGGAGACCAGGGUUUGAAUCCCUGCUCAGCCA
This 72-nucleotide transfer RNA is filed under the name Phrynosoma platyrhinos (Desert horned lizard). Its description in RNAcentral is "tRNA-OTHER". Lineage: Eukaryota; Metazoa; Chordata; Lepidosauria; Squamata; Phrynosomatidae. The record is from RNAcentral.